Oryctolagus cuniculus (rabbit) is the source of this 92-nucleotide small nuclear RNA. Its record names the gene U2. It matches the Rfam family "U2 spliceosomal RNA". Rfam says of the family: U2 is a small nuclear RNA (snRNA) component of the spliceosome (involved in pre-mRNA splicing). Complementary binding between U2 snRNA (in an area lying towards the 5' end but 3' to hairpin I) and the branchpoint sequence (BPS) of the intron results the bulging out of an unpaired adenosine, on the BPS, which initiates a nucleophilic attack at the intronic 5' splice site, thus starting the first of two transesterification reactions that mediate splicing. The record is from Ensembl. NCBI's taxonomy places the organism in Eukaryota, Metazoa, Chordata, Mammalia, Lagomorpha, Leporidae.
AUCGCUUCUUGGCCUUUUGGCUAAGAUCAAGUGUAAUAUCAUAUUAUAUGAAAUAAUUAUAUCAAAGAUGUAUCUGCACUUCCAUAUCUAUU